Molecule: ribosomal RNA, 253 nt
Filed under: uncultured bacterium
Lineage: Bacteria
Description: partial 16S ribosomal RNA
Rfam family: Bacterial small subunit ribosomal RNA
Source: RNAcentral
UACGUAGGGGGCAAGCGUUGUCCGGAUUUAUUGGGCGUAAAGAGCGUGUAGGCGGCCAGACAGGUCCGUUGUGAAAACUCGAGGCUCAACCUCGAGACGCCGGUGGAAACCAUCAGACUAGAGUCCGGAAGAGGAGAGUGGAAUUCCUGGUGUAGCGGUGAAAUGCGCAGAUAUCAGGAAGAACACCCGUGGCUAAGGCGGCUCUCUAGUACGGUACUGACGCUGAGACGCGAAAGCGUGGGGAGCGAACAGG